Molecule: ribosomal RNA, 339 nt
Filed under: uncultured bacterium
Lineage: Bacteria
Description: bacterial SSU rRNA
Rfam family: Bacterial small subunit ribosomal RNA
Source: RNAcentral
GAUGAACGCUAGCGGCAGGCCUAAUACAUGCAAGUCGGACGGGAUUUGGGAGCUUGCUCCCAAUGAGAGUGCGCACGGGUGCGUAACACGUAUGUAACCUACCUUAGUCGGGGGGAUAGCCUCUCGAAAGAGAGAUUAAGACCGCAUAAAAUCACAGUAUAGCAUUAUACAAUGAUCAAAUAUUUAUAGGACUAAGAUGGGCAUGCGGAACAUUAGCUAGUUGGUGAGGUAACGGCCCACCAAGCUACGAUGUUUAGGGAUCUGAGAGGAUCGACCCCCCACACUGGUACUGAGACACGGACCAGACUCCGUACGGGAGGCAGCAGUAAGGAAUAUUGG